Molecule: long non-coding RNA, 611 nt
Filed under: Lactuca sativa (garden lettuce)
Lineage: Eukaryota; Viridiplantae; Streptophyta; Magnoliopsida; Asterales; Asteraceae
Description: long non-coding RNA (LSAT_LNC000343)
Source: RNAcentral
GUGGAGCGAAUGAUGUUCCUACCAAAGAAGACUAAAGAGAAGAGGAUGAAAGAGAUGGAAAAUGAGACGGUGGGGUGGGAUGGCUGAGAUGAUUCUUUGACCACCAAAAAUACUAUUUAGAAAUUGGAAUCACAAUUAUACCAAAUUGGAAUCACAAUUAUGCGCAGCCCAGUGAUUAUUUCAUCCUCCUUAAUGAGGUCACUCCAGCUUAGAGACGAAAACCGAAAGAUUCUGCUCUUUCUUUUCUAAGCUGCUCUUUCUUUUCUAAGCUGAAGUGACCUCUUAAGGAGGAUGAAAGAAUCACUGGGCUGCGCAUAAUUGUGAUUCUAAUUUCUAAAUAGUAUUUUUGGUGGUGAUCUAACUUGUUGAAAGUUGCUAAAACAAGCUAACAAGGGUAGACAAUAUGUCUUUAUAUGUGGAUUUAAUAUAUAUAAGCCUAGCUAGGUAAAUAGAUGGUCACUGUUAGUAAAACUGUUAAGGUCAUCUGGGUGUGUUUAUUAUGGUUCUUAUUGUUGGUAUGCUUAAUUAUUAGGCCAUAUGAUGUCCAGAAGUGAUAUUUUGCGAUGUAGCUAUAUUUUAUUAAACCAUGGUGUAUAAACACACGCGCNNNN